CUCCUCCUCCUCGCCGCUCGCCCGCGCCGCCGCCUCCCGGCGCUCGGGGUCCCGCUCCUCCUCGCGCGCCAUGGCUCCCACGCUCCGCGCCCGCGCUCGGCCUGGGGCGGCGGCGCGGCGGGGGCGGCGGGGGCGGCCGGGAGGCGGGGGCGGAGGGGGCAGAGGAGGAGGAGCGGGGAAGGACCGACGGUAGGAGGGCCCGCCGCUGGCCAACUCCGCCGGUUGGCAAAGCCACCCCGGACUGGCUCUGGCCUCGCCGGCUGCAGGAGCGCCUCGCGGGGCCGCCCGCCUAUUCCAUGGUCGGCGCGAUGGGGGCCGGGGCCGGGCCGGAGCGAACAGGGAGCACCGAGCGAGCUGGGAGCAUGAGCUAGCGCAGCUCCCGGCAGCCUGCAGCGGCGAGGCUGGUCGGGCCAGGGUUGGCGGGGGGCAGUGCCUGGGACACAGCCCGGCGCUGGCCGGCAUGGCGGGGAGGGGGCGCGCUGGGAGGAGACUGGGCUGGGGAGGGAUCCCUGUGUGCAGUCCUUCAACCCUUCUGUGCCAGGGGAAGAGGGACGGCGCAGGGGGCCCCCUCUCGGGAAGCACACACGCUGCCUCCCAGAGGCCGAUCUUCACCAAGAAGGAUUCGCUGGAAACUUUCGGAAAACCGAGGGGCUCUUCAGCCUCCUCUCUACGUGCUACCUGGAGUCGGGGCGCCGCGAGUGCGCUUGGCUGCCCGCGCCCAGCCUCUGGCCUCGCCUCUUCUCGCGGGCCUCCCGGGUUUCCCUCUGCCCCCUUGCGGGGAUCCCCCUGUGCGCCCGACUCGGGAUCUGGAACAGGCCUCCCCAGAGGCUGUUAGUUCCAUAAGGGUGUCCGGCUCCCCCCUCUGUCUUGGGCUCACACUUCGCUUUCUGUUCGUGCUGGACCAAGUCCAAUACUGUGGCUGAUCGAAGUGGGGACAGCUGGCACGGUCCCUGGAGAGGCGGCCUGAAGAGGCUUCUGGCCUUGUGCAGUCUUUGGAAGCUCCCUCCAGAAACCGAACUGUGAAAGGAGCAAGAGUUGAAAUGAAGAAUGUGCUCUGAUACUUCAGUCUGAGAGUAUUUCUUUCCUGGAGAGAGAGGCAUCACUCCUAGAUGUGUGGGGGUCUUCACCCUUUCAGGAAUAAGACAGGUCCCUGCAGAGACUUUGGACCUGAUGUGGUGAAUAAAGUUGGUUAGUCUUUCUCACAGUUCUACCUUUAGGACAAAGAAUAGAAAGCCUCCCGUGACUAUAUUCACUAACUCUCAGCCCAGGCCAGAUCAUCCACCAGCCAGUGAAAGGGACCUCGUCUGUGGCCAAACUAGGUGCAGCUCGGUGCCCUCCUGUGAUAUUUCCAGCUCUCCAGCCUCCUGCUGACCACAGCUCACAGACCUCAUGGAGUAGUUUCCAGGACAAAGCAAGGUUAUGUCUCCACAACACCAAACAUUCCCAGGUGUGGCAGGCAAGCCAUUGAUUUAGAAGAGAGGAGGAGAGAGGAAGAGAAAACCAGAAAAGGCACUUUCUUGGUAAAGAGACAUCAGCUUUCUCACCAUGGCUGUUUCAUAACACAAGGAGACCUGGCCCAAGCUCAGAGGGGAAAGACCCCUGGGUGUUCAUGGAAAACCUUUAAGCACAGUGAGACCAAAUGUUAGUAGAUGGGGGAUAAAAGGGAGAAAUUCAUGGAGUAUGCCUAGAACAGGCCUUGUAUGCAGCAUCCCCUUCUUGCCUAGGACUUGAAGGGCCAGGCUUCCUGUCAUUGCCUCACUCAAAUGUAGCCCAGGAAGACAUUAGACUGAUAGCACUGAUCACCUCCAGACAAAACCCCUGCACCUGCACAGUCACAUAGACUUGGACAAAAGCCCAUCCUUACUAAGGAAGACCUAACAACUAUUUCUUCUCACGCCCAUUCUUGUCCACCGUCUUUAUCAAAAAGCCAGGAAAACUGCUUCUUCAGACACUUUCUGAGCCGGCUGUAUUUUGAAGGACAAAAAAAAAAAAAUUACUCUUUUGAGAGCAUUGUGUCUGCAAGGUGGGCUCACGUUAUUUUUGGUGAUCAGUUUAUGACUGGAGUUCAAAUAGACUGCUUAUUUUAUAAGAGUUUUUAAUUUUGAAUAUUCUUUUUGCUGAACUGUGUGCAUUUGUUUGGUUUUUAACUCACCACAUGAAUAUGACUAUAGAUUUUUUUUUCCUAGUUGACCAUGGUCAGAUUCACAAUUGCCUUUAAAAAAAAUUUGUUGGCUGGGCACGGUGGCUCACGCCUGUAAUCCCAACACUUUAGGAGGCUGAAGCAGGUGGAUCAUCUGAGGUCAGAAGUUCGAGGCCAACCUGGCCAACAUGGUGAAACUCCGUCUCUACUAAAAAUACAAAAAUUAGCCAGGCAGGGUGGCGCAUGCCUGUAAUCCCAGCUACUCAGGAGGCUAAGGCAGGAGACUCUCUUGAACCCGGAAGGUGGAGGUUGCAGUGAGCCGAGAUCACGACACUGCACUCCAGCCUGGGUGGCAGAGCGAGACUCUGUCUCAGAAGAAAAAAAAAAAAAAAAGAAAAUGUGUUGAAGUAUAACAUACAUGAGGCAAAACGCACACAGCUUAAGCAUUAACUCAAUGACUCUGUAUAUACGUAUACAUCCUCACAGGUUCCAGACCAAGACAUGGAACAUUUCCUGCUCUCCCUGAAAGUCUCCCUGUGCCAGCCCCUCACCAGGCAAUAAUUCCCCAGAGAUAGUGCCUCUUCCCAACCCUGUACCCUAGAUCAUUGUUGCCUGUCCUUGAACCUCAGAUAAAGGGAGGCUCCUUUUGCCCAUCUUCGUUUUUGUGAUGUCUGUCCAUUGUGGUGUGCAUAGCUGUGAUUUGUUCUUUUUCACACUGUGAAGGUGUAGGUGGUUUUCACCUGAUGCUUCAGUUCCCUUCCAACUUUAGUAUAAGCCAAGAAUAAUCAAACCACUACAUCUGGAUCAGAGACAAAUGACCUCCCAGAUUGGCUAGUUUUGUAAGGAACUUCAGUUGAAAUUGAAACAGUCAUCAGCUGCUUCUCAAACCAGCUACACUACAUAAGGAGGAGCCCAAGGGAAACUGCAGGACAACAGGUCCACUGGGAAACUUCAGGGGGCCAAGCUGUCAAAGACAAGCACAGAAAAAUUCCUGCAAUGUGCGUUAGACCUUGAGGCAGCUUUUAAUGGCAAAAGUCAGUACAACCCAUUUCCUUUUUCUCUAAAUGAGAGGAAAGUAGAAUAGGUUCCAUCAGGAAAGAGUCACACCCAGGCCAUGACAAACUCAUGGAGGAUCCUGUCAAUCAAAUUCCUUUCUGCUGGGCAGAAAAAGUAUGUGGGAGCUUGUUAGUAAGGUGCAUUCCCAACCUAUCCUGAGGAUGUGGGACUCAGGAAGCCCAACAAUCUGCCCUAUUUACAAGGUCCCAGGUAUCCUUUCAUAUUAAGAUUUGAGACCUGCUGUUUCAGAGAAAGGGACAGCUUGGCAUGUAUUUUUUGGUAAAUCCUGGAGGGCAAGUCUAAAAAGCAAAAAAUAUACCGCCCAGCACCUAUUUGUUGAUAUUUUAAAUUGACUUGUUUGGGGUGUUUGGAAGAAAUAAAGACAGAGUAUGAAAACACAACCUGUAGCUAUGUCUAUAUGUAUUUCAUUUUUCACUUGAGUACUAUGUUUCUUAAAGACUCCUGUAAGAAAUAAUUCAGAACCACAUAAAUAAUAAAGAGAUUAAAAUUUUAAAUCCACAGAGGACAAACAUUAAGUAUUCACAAUUUGAGGAAUUUGUUCAUUCUGUCAGGAUCAUUCAGAAAGAAAACACAUACAUGCCACUAAUUUAAUUUUGCCCUCGUAAACUUGGGCAGACAAGGUGCUGAGUGUGGCAGAGGAGCCUGGGGAGAGCCCUGAGGGCUUAUUUUUGUUAAUAUACAAAUAUUAGGCUUAGGUAUCCUAUAUUUUAAAUCAAGACAAUAGAUCUAAAAAAUGUUUUAGCAUUUUGAAAUUUCAAAACUUCAUCCUGGUAGACCAUGAUAUGCAGUACAUCUUAAGUGGAAAAAAAAAGAAGCUACACUAUGAAUUGUAUAAUCCCAUUUUUGUAAAGUUAAGCAAAAUCAUCUCUCUCUCUCUAUCUCUGAUUACUUUGGGAUGUGGGAUUACAGGAUUUGGGGUUGGGGAUCAGAGAAUGUAGAGGGACUUUCACUUUUUAUUUUAUACUCUUCCAUAGCUUUAAAA
Molecule: long non-coding RNA, 4199 nt
Filed under: Homo sapiens (human)
Lineage: Eukaryota; Metazoa; Chordata; Mammalia; Primates; Hominidae
Description: HSALNT0399867
Source: RNAcentral